Capsicum annuum is the source of this 471-nucleotide long non-coding RNA. RefSeq lists it as uncharacterized. Lineage: Eukaryota; Viridiplantae; Streptophyta; Magnoliopsida; Solanales; Solanaceae. The transcript has 3 exons. The record is from RefSeq and is a predicted model, not a curated record.
CUUCAAUAAUAAUUUAAAAGAAUAGAUAUUUUUAAAGCGGCUGGCACAAUUUUGAGCAAAAUAUAGUAGUACGUAAUAUUUUGUUGAGGUCAAAUUCUUGGGGCAAUCGGAUGACCCGAACUGGCAUACCAAAUCGAAGAAAUUGGGUGGCUACGGUUGGGAAGCGCGUUUUGGAGCUGUCAAGCUGUCGCACAUACCAAAUGGAUGUAGAUCAGGCCCCGGCCGUUCACUUCGAAGAGGGAAUAAUUAUGAACAUCCUUAUCAGGUUACCUGUGCGAACUCUCCAUCAAUUCAAAUGUGUUUCAAAGUUUUGGAAUGCAUUAAUCUCCGAUCCUUACUUUAAGAUGAAGCAUUUCAAGCAUGCCAAGAAUGACCGAAAUUCCCAAAAAUUCCUUAUUUACCCACAUGCGCCAGAAUGGAAGUAAAUUUUCCAGCUACUGUUGUUCUUUAUCGCCGGUUCAAAUGGCUGAG